UUGAUCAUGGCUCAGAUUGAACGCUGGCGGCAGGCUUAACACNNNCAAGUCGAGCGGANACGAGAAUAGCUUGCUAUUCGGCGUCGAGCGGCGGACGGGUGACUAAUGCUUGGGAAUAUGCCUUUGAGUGGGGGACAACAGUUGGAAACGACUGCUAAUACCGCAUAACGUCUACGGACCAAAGGGGGGGAUCUUCGGACCUCUCGCUCAUUGAUUAGCCCAAGUGAGAUUAGCUAGUUGGUAAGGUAAUGGCUUACCAAGGCGACGAUCUCUAGCUGGUUUGAGAGGAUGAUCAGCCACACUGGGAGUGAGACACGGCCCAGACUCCUACGGGAGGCAGCAGUGGGGAAUAUUGCACAAUGGGCGAAAGCCUGAUGCAGCCAUGCCGCGUGUGUGAAGAAGGCCUUCGGGUUGUAAAGCACUUUCAGCGAGGAGGAAAGGNUGUUGUUUAAUACGCAACAUUCUGUGACGUUACUCGCAGAAGAAGCACCGGCUAACUUCGUGCC
This 506-nucleotide ribosomal RNA is filed under the name gamma proteobacterium KAT15. RNAcentral describes it as "bacterial SSU rRNA". It matches the Rfam family "Bacterial small subunit ribosomal RNA", at positions 13 to 509 of the family's 1533-position model. Lineage: Bacteria; Pseudomonadati; Pseudomonadota; Gammaproteobacteria. The record is from RNAcentral.